CGCCCGGGCCCCGCGGCUGCCGAUGGCGGCGAGGGGCGGUGCGGGGCGGGCGGGCCGCCUGCCUCCCCUCCCGUCACCCCGCCAGGGCCGCCCGGCCGCCUCCCUGCCUCCCUCCGCUGCCUGCCGGGACCCUCGGUGCUGGGCCGGCCGAGCCCGAGCUGGAUCCGCGGAGCAGCAGCCGCCGUGGCCAGGUCCCAUGAUGACAGCUCUCUUGAGAGGCAGCCAGUUUCCGCAGAAAACUUGUUUCAGCACCGCAGAUACUUGAAGUCUGGAAAGAAAAAAGAUUUCCUGAUGAUUAGCAAAGUUCAUUUAUGAGAUUGGAAAUAACUGCGGUAUCAAGCAUCCGUCUGGAUGCAGAGGUCUUUUCACAGCGGAUAUUCGGCAUUGGUAAACGGAUUUGCGGAUUUGCAUGGGGUAAAAAUGGAGGCAGAAAUAAACUUCUGAAAUUGAAUCUCAGUCCAGAAAUGAUGGCUUCCCAGCUGUAUACACAUGCUUUCAAUAUCUCCCCAAUAGAGACUAGGAGACUGUGUAUAAAUGGAACACCAUGGAUUUGGCAUCUUCUGGAAGAAUGUGUUGAGAAUGCGUGGGAGUACUGGAGCGUUGUCAUAGGACUGAUUUCCAUUGUCUGUUUUCUGUUUGCUGCACUACCUCAAAUUUACGUUGCCUGUCAGAAUGGAAAAGUGGAUCAAGCGCUGUCUUUGGGCUUUCUGCUGUGUUGGAUAGCUGGAGAUCUUACAAAUUUUAUAGGCUGCUAUUUAACAAAUCAACUACCAAUUCAGACCAUCACUGCCAUCUCUUAUGUUAAUAUGGAUAUAAUCAUGAUUUCACAAUAUGUAUACUAUAAGCUCAAGAAUCAGAAGAUGACGAAAUGCAGCAAAAACCUGAAGAAUUUCUGUGUAACCUGGAUCUUGGUGUGUAUAGCCCUGUGCAUCGUUCUGCUCUGCCAGCUGCUAGUAAGAAACCAAGACCAGAGUUCAGUACUGGAAAGAAGUAAUACUUCCCUUGAUAUGAUUGAAAUGUCAGGCUUCAUUUGUGGCUAUAUAUCUUGUGUGUUUUACUUGGGAAGUAGAUUUCCUCAGCUUUAUAAAAAUUUUCGGAGAAGAUCAACAGAAGGCACCUCUUACCUGCUGUUUGCAUUAGCCAUGCUGGGAAACUGUACGUAUGGACUGAGCCUUGUUUUAAAGAUGCCUGCUACCACAUCCUUCCAAGCUCUCUACUUUUUACACCAUCUUCCGUGGCUCAUUGGGAGCUUUGGAGUUUUGUUUCUAGACAUUUUUAUGCAUUGAAACACUGAGUGCCUCUGCAAACCAUCAGCUACGCUCACUGAGUCGUGCUAAGAGCUGCCCUACUACUACACAGUUACAUAGGUGACUGUGCAGUUCCUUCUGUAUCGUCAGCACGAGGAAGGGCAGCCCAGCGUGGUGGCGCUGGAAGUGGAACCGCUGCUCCUGGGCGAGGAGACUGCCUAGUGCGGGGUCGGGGUCGGCUCCUGCCUCCCGUGCACUUUGCUCUUGGCUGACUUCAACAAACAGUUGAGAUUGGAUGUGCUGAGGGACCACAUUUGUUACUUUAUUUAUUUUGUCAUUGAUUUGUCAUUACUUAUUUGAAAAGGAUAUGAAAAUAAACAUUUAAUACUGUAUUUCAGUAUGAUAUCAAGUCUUUUCUCCUCAUUUUUUCCCCUCCCCUACAUUUUAGGCUGUUUCUCCCUAUCAUGAUAGGGAAUCACAGCAGUGACUGCUUUAGAAGUAUUUAUUUGAUGUCGUGAUACAAUUCAUAUCACGAGGUGACUUAUUUUUAGAUGAAAAUCUACAUCUAGAUAAGGCUGUUUAAAAAAAAAAUGCAGGAUCCAUUGUUGCGCUUUUACAUCACUCUUGUAAGCUGGGGGGAUCCUCAUGUACAGCUCGUUGUAAAGUAUUAUUGUGCUUUAUAUUGUUCAGUUAAUUAAAACAUUUAUUCAUCAAUA
Anas platyrhynchos (mallard) is the source of this 1963-nucleotide non-coding RNA. The record is from RefSeq and is a predicted model, not a curated record. NCBI's taxonomy places the organism in Eukaryota, Metazoa, Chordata, Aves, Anseriformes, Anatidae.